RNAcentral lists this unclassified non-coding RNA (230 nucleotides) under uncultured fungus. RNAcentral's name for it is "sequence contains ITS1, 5.8S rRNA gene". The stretch from base 182 to 230 matches the Rfam family "5.8S ribosomal RNA", at positions 1 to 49 of the family's 154-position model. The record is from RNAcentral. Lineage: Eukaryota; Fungi.
UCUCCGUUGGUGAACCAGCGGAGGGAUCAUUACCGAGUGAGGGUCCUUGUGGCCCGACCUCCAACCCUUUGUGAACACAACUUGUUGCUUCGGGGGCGACCCUGCCGUUCGCGGCGUGGGGCCCCCGGAGCCCAUCAAACCCUGCGUAACUGAGUCGUCGGAGUUUAAACAAAUUAAACAAAACUUUCAACAACGGAUCUCUUGGUUCGGGCAUCGAUGAAGAACGCAGC